UAAAGAUAAGUAAUGAGAUAGUUGGUCUACAAGAUUAGUGGUUAGAGGUAGUGAUGGAGAUCAAGAUCAAGACCAAAUGGAGGCCAAUACUCAAGGACAAGAAGAGGAAGAGGCUCAAGUGUUAGACGCUCAAGAAGUUUGUAGCCCACCUCAAAGGCUUACAAGAAGUCAAUUCAAGGCAUUAGGAAAUAAUGGAAGGUUGUUUUCUCUUUUUGUAAUAUCUUGGUGUUAGAAGGUGCUUAGAGGG
RNAcentral lists this long non-coding RNA (247 nucleotides) under Phaseolus vulgaris (common bean). RNAcentral describes it as "long non-coding RNA (PVUL_LNC004900)". Lineage: Eukaryota; Viridiplantae; Streptophyta; Magnoliopsida; Fabales; Fabaceae. The record is from RNAcentral.